GAAGGGGGCUAGCGUUACUCGGAAUUACUGGGCGUAAAGGGCGCGUAGGCGGCGCUCCAAGUUAGGCGUGAAAGUCCUGGGCUCAACCUGGGAACUGCGCUUAAGACUGGAGUACUUGAGGAUGGAAGAGGGUCGUGGAAUUCCCAGUGUAGAGGUGAAAUUCGUAGAUAUUGGGAAGAACACCGGUGGCGAAGGCGGCGACCUGGUCCAUUACUGACGCUGAGGCGCGACAGCGUGGGGAGCAAACAGGAUUAGAUACCCUGGUAGUCCACGCCGUAAACGAUGUGCGCUGGAUGUUGGGUGACCUAGUCACUCAGUGUCGUAGCUAACGCGGUAAGUGCACCGCCUGGGGAGUACGGCCGCAAGGUUG
Molecule: ribosomal RNA, 370 nt
Filed under: uncultured bacterium
Lineage: Bacteria
Description: bacterial SSU rRNA
Rfam family: Bacterial small subunit ribosomal RNA
Source: RNAcentral